UACGUAGGGGGCGAGCGUUGUCCGGAAUCAUUGGGCGUAAAGCGCGUGUAGGCGGCCCGGUAAGUCCGCUGUGAAAGUCCAGGGCUCAACCCUGGGAUGCCGGUGGAUACUGUCGGGCUCGAGUCCGGAAGAGGCGAGUGGAAUUCCUGGUGUAGCGGUGUAAUGCGCAGAUAUCAGGAGGAACACCAAUGGCGAAGGCAGCUCGCUGGGACGUGACUGACGCUGAGACGCGAAAGCGUGGGGAGCAAACAGG
Molecule: ribosomal RNA, 253 nt
Filed under: uncultured bacterium
Lineage: Bacteria
Description: partial 16S ribosomal RNA
Rfam family: Bacterial small subunit ribosomal RNA
Source: RNAcentral